CAAUAAGCAGUCACCAUAGUAUUUAAGAGAGAGAUAAAAUACAAAAUUAUAAUACCUUAAUGAAAAUGAUUCUCUAUUGUUAAGUUACUAUUCAACAUUUUUAUCAGUAUCAGUGUUGGUCUUAUAAGUUGACCGCCACUGUCGACAGCAGGAGAUAGAGGAGCGUCUGAUUGAGGAGGAGACGGCACGACGCGUAGAGGAACUUGUGGCCAAACGUGUGGAGGAGGAACUGGAAAAGCGAAAGGAUGAGAUUGAAAGAGAAGUGUUGCGGCGGGUGGAGGAGGCCAAACGCAUCAUGGAGAAACAGUUGCUAGAGGAGCUGGAGAGACAGAGACAAGCAGAACUGGCUGCUCAGAAAGCUCGGGAGGAGGAAGAGAAAUCAAAGCGUGAAGAACUGGAGAAGAUUCUGGUGGAGAACAAUCGCAAGAUAGCCGACGCUCAAGCUA
Molecule: long non-coding RNA, 446 nt
Organism: Sinocyclocheilus grahami
Lineage: Eukaryota; Metazoa; Chordata; Actinopteri; Cypriniformes; Cyprinidae
Exons: 3
Source: RefSeq, a predicted model, not a curated record